Molecule: long non-coding RNA, 848 nt
Filed under: Oryctolagus cuniculus (rabbit)
Lineage: Eukaryota; Metazoa; Chordata; Mammalia; Lagomorpha; Leporidae
Description: lncRNA (ENSOCUG00000031091.1)
Source: RNAcentral
GUAAUUUGGAGGAUGACACUUCUGUCAUGGAACUUUCGGUUAUUUAUAUGUAUAAUUGAAAAAAAAAAAUUGCCUUCCUUGAUUAUGUAAUUAAGUGUUAAAUGAGGAAUCUUGUACAGCUUUUGGUCUCUUAAUAAGCUGGUUUCUUCUUUCUUGCCUUUUUAAUUGAAUUGAAGAAGGAGAUCUUCUUCUCAGCUAUGCAUCAGUUAUAGAAGCCUGGCCACAGAUGCAACUGAAAACUGAUGAACUAAAUGGAAGUUACCCUAAAUAAGGCAUUGAUCCAGAUUUUUGCAGGUUCUGCAUGGUUUCUGAGAAGUUCCAGGUGCACUGUGGAGAAGACAUUGCUUCUUUGGGAGAAAGGACAGAGAAAUGGAAACUUGAUGUGUACGCUCAUUUCCAGGGACAUUGUUUUUCUUGGUAGAAAUCAUCAAGGCACGUAUGAGUUUUAAGUUAUAUCUAAGUGUUAAUGAAGCUUAAAUAAUGUUCUUAAUCUACAAAAAUGACCAGGAGCUUCCUGAUAAGAGAUAUGCAGUGAAAUUACCUGCUCUCCAAUUUUUGAUCCUUAGAUAAAAUAGGAAACUAAGUAUGAUCUAAGCAAUACAUUAUUUCCCCCAAGACUAAAUGGAACAAAAAAGUGAUGAAAAGAAAAAUUACUUCUAAGGUUUGAGUUUUUCAUGAAUUCAUGAAAAAUUCUUUAAUUAUUUUCACAGAAAUAUUUUUCACAUUAUACAACACAAGUCAAGUUGCAAUAGCUAGUAUAAGGCACAUACCCAAAUACCUUCUCGUUUGCUGGCAUUAGAUAUUUGGCCAAGAAUAUGAGAAUAAUAAAAUGACUUUAUUUUCAAGCA